GGUGCUAACGUCCGUCGUGAAGAGGGAAACAACCCAGACCGCCAGCUAAGGUCCCAAAGUCAUGGUUAAGUGGGAAACGAUGUGGGAAGGCCCAGACAGCCAGGAUGUUGGCUUAGAAGCAGCCAUCAUUUAAAGAAAGCGUAAUAGCUCACUGGUCGAGUCGGCCUGCGCGGAAGAUGUAACGGGGCUAAACCAUGCACCGAAGCUGCGGCAGCGACACUGUGUGUUGUUGGGUAGGGGAGCGUUCUGUAAGCCUGUGAAGGUGUGUCGUGAGGCAUGCUGGAGGUAUCAGAAGUGCGAAUGCUGACAUAAGUAACGAUAAAGCGGGUGAAAAGCCCGCUCGCCGGAAGACCAAGGGUUCCUGUCCAACGUUAAUCGGGGCAGGGUGAGUCGACCCCUAAGGCGAGGCCGAAAGGCGUAGUCGAUGGGAAACGGGUUAAUAUUCCCGUACUUGGUGUUACUGCGAAGGGGGGACGGAGAAGGCUAUGUUGGCCGGGCGACGGUUGUCCCGGUUUAAGCGUGUAGGUGUGUGUUCCAGGUAAAUCCGGUUCACUUUAACACUGAGGCGUGACGACGAGGCACUACGGUGCUGAAGCAACAAAUGCCCUGCUUCCAGGAAAAGCCUCUAAGCAUCAGGUAACAUCAAAUCGUACCCCAAACCGACACAGGUGGUCAGGUAGAGAAUACCAAGGCGCUUGAGAGAACUCGGGUGAAGGAACUAGGCAAAAUGGUGCCGUAACUUCGGGAGAAGGCACGCUGACACGUAGGUGAAGUGAUUUACUCAUGGAGCUGAAGUCAGUCGAAGAUACCAGCUGGCUGCAACUGUUUAUUAAAAACACAGCACUGUGCAAACACGAAAGUGGACGUAUACGGUGUGACGCCUGCCCGGUGCCGGAAGGUUAAUUGAUGGGGUCAGCGCAAGCGAAGCUCCUGAUCGAAGCCCCGGUAAACGGCGGCCGUAACUAUAACGGUCCUAAGGUAGCGAAAUUCCUUGUCGGGUAAGUUCCGACCUGCACGAAUGGCGUAAUGAUGGCCAGGCUGUCUCCACCCGAGACUCAGUGAAAUUGAACUCGCUGUGAAGAUGCAGUGUACCCGCGGCAAGACGGAAAGACCCCGUGAACCUUUACUAUAGCUUGACACUGAACAUUGAGCCUUGAUGUGUAGGAUAGGUGGGAGGCUUUGAAGCGUGGACGCCAGUCUGCGUGGAGCCGACCUUGAAAUACCACCCUUUAAUGUUUGAUGUUCUAACGUGGACCCGU
This 1259-nucleotide ribosomal RNA is filed under the name Salmonella enterica. Its description in RNAcentral is "partial 23S ribosomal RNA". It matches the Rfam family "Bacterial large subunit ribosomal RNA", at positions 994 to 2236 of the family's 2925-position model. RNAcentral also lists the same sequence under 2 other names. Lineage: Bacteria; Pseudomonadati; Pseudomonadota; Gammaproteobacteria; Enterobacterales; Enterobacteriaceae. The record is from RNAcentral.